AUGCGGGGGCGGGGCCGCGGCGACGCUGGGUGUGUGGACGCAGAUGGCGGCGGCGCAGGGCGCCUGAGCGGGCCGGGGCCAUGAGCGCCGCCCGGCCCCAGUUCAGCAUUGAUGAUGCCUUCGAGCUGUCCCUGGAGGACGGGGGCCCUGGGCCCGAGUCCAGCGGGGUCGCGCGCUUUGGGCCGCUGCACUUCGAGCGUCGGGCCCGGUUCGAGGUGGCUGACGAGGACAAGCAGUCCCGGCUGCGCUACCAGAACCUGGAGAACGAUGAGGAUGGAGCCCAGGCCUCUCCGGAGCCGGAUGGGGGAGUCGGCACCAGGUUAGGGCCAGGUGGGGACCCAACCCUGUACCCCAGCCCCAGCUCCUAUCCCCAGGGACCCUGCUCACUCACCCCACUUCACUCACUCUCUUCCAUCCCGUCCUAUUGAUUCCUAGCCUGACCCUCACUUUCCUCACAGGGUCCCCUACACUGUAGGGUCACCCUACCCUAGUGCCCAGCUGUACUCACCUCUUUCAGAAACCCCUAGUCUGGUCUGGCCCCCACCUUCAUACAGGUCACCUGUCCUACAGAAUCCCCUA
This 579-nucleotide small RNA is filed under the name Pan troglodytes (chimpanzee). RNAcentral's name for it is "retained intron". Lineage: Eukaryota; Metazoa; Chordata; Mammalia; Primates; Hominidae. The record is from RNAcentral.